GUUUCUGAGAUGCUGGAAUCACCAUGUGUGGCAUCAACAAUCAUACCACGGUCAAAGUUGCUUAGAUUACGCAUCUUGCCCGUUCUGAUGUUUGGUCGCACAACAACUAAAGCUCUCUACUCUAUAUACCCUAUAUAUUGAGUUACAGGCAGCCACAUGAUUCUCUGUUCGAAGGAGCAGGCUAUUUGCGUUAACACGUAGGUGUACCUAAUAAAGUGGCCAGUGAGUGUAUGUAUGCAGGCCCUUAUAAUUGCUUUUCCAAUACUGCCAGCUCGUUACUGAUGAUUGAUUUCACAGUGUGGUACAUAGUGAGUACAUAGUGAAAUGAGUGGUAUCCACCUACAACAACAUAGCGAUAACAUGGAGCCGGCAGGUGAUCCAGUCACAAGAGAGGUCAAGCAGUGGGAGGAGGAAGACGAGGAAGACGUGGUGGUCAAAGGAAUGGCAGGGGACAAGCACCCCUUCUGAGAGGUGGUCUAUGGGCCUCGUUUGAGAGGUGUGGGGGAACGUGGUAGAGGACAAGGCCACGGACCGAGACAGCGGCAGCAACAGCAAAGAGUGUCCAAUGAAAUACGAGCAAUAGUUGUAGGCCAUGUCGUAAAUCAUGGCAUGACAAUGACUGAGGCAGCUACAAUGAUUCAACCAAACCUCAGAAGAUCAACAGUAGCCUCAAUCAUCAGAACUUUCCGCAAUGAGAACCGGUAAGUCUUCAGCAUGCACUAAACAUUAGGCUAUUCUCAAUUAUCAAAUGACUGUAUACUGCAUGCCAAUGUGCACCACUGAGUAGGUGAUGUGACUAAAUGUGUUCUUACUGUAAUUUUCCCUGCAGAAUUGAGACUAGGCCAAAUAGGGGAGACAGAGGCAAAAUUCUGACUGACCAACAAGAGCGGGCUGUGGUCAAUUUGGUUCGGGCCAGAAAUGAUAUUCGCCUUACAGAAAUUUGGCAGCACAUCUUGGACAAUGACGACAUGUUCAACAAUGUGGAAGCCAUAAGUUUGCCGACUAUUGCACGCAUGCUGAAAAGGCACCAGGUGUCUCUAAAACAGCUAUACCAAUGUGCCUUUUGAAAGAAAUUCAAACAGAGUGAAGCAACUGAGGACUGAGUAUGUUCAGAGGGUGAUGGAGCUGGAUGCUGACGAAAACCAUCAGAAAUUCCUCUUUUUGGAUGAGGCAGGCUUCAACCUGGCCAAGACAAGGAGGAGAGGUCGGAAUUUCAUUGGCCAGCGGGCAACCAUCCAAGUGUGCGGCUAUAUUGGAAGAUGGUGUGGUGGGACACAGACCUCGUAUUGGAUUAAAUAAUGCAGUUCUCCUUGUAACCUUCCUUGAUGAGCUAAAUCAGGUCUGCAGAGCUGAUGGUGUGACCUAUGUCAUUGUGUGGGAUAAUGUCAGAUUCCACCAUGAUCAAAUGGUGCAAGCAUGGUUUCAGGCCCAUCCACAAUUUACCACCCUGUACUUACCCUCAUACUCUCCUUUCCUUAAACCGAUUGAGGAAUUUUUCUCCACAUGGAGGUGGAAGGUAUAUGAUAGGCGCCCUCACAAACAAGCCACCCUUCUCCAGGCCAUGGAUGACGCAUGCCAUGACAUCACGGCAGACCAGUGUCAGGCCUGGAUUCACCAUGCCUGAAGAUUCUUCCCAAGAUGUUUGGCUAAUGAAAACAUCCAUUGUGAUGUGGAUGAGAACGUGUGGCCAAAUUGACAAGACAGGGUUGAUGGGAAUAUAGAAGUACAGUAAUCAAUCCUUUGUUUUGCUUUUUACAGUAAGCCAGGUGAGGAACACUGCAGUUGACAUUUUACUGUAUUUUUUCUUCUUUUUUGUAGCUAAUUAUUUUUGCUUUGAUUCAAAGAAACCUAUGUUGUGAUUUUAUUGUAUUUCAUCAAUACAUUUCAGAUUUUGUUCAAUGAAACAUGUAUCACAUAUUUUGUACUACAAUAUUUAAUGAUUGUACGAACAACUACAUAGUGAAACUAUCGGUAUCUUGUGUGUGGGUGAUCUAAAUAAAUGUUCCUAUGGUUUUUCAUGAUAAAUGAGUUAUUUGAACCA
This is a non-coding RNA of Salmo salar (Atlantic salmon), 2041 nucleotides long. The record is from RefSeq and is a predicted model, not a curated record. NCBI's taxonomy places the organism in Eukaryota, Metazoa, Chordata, Actinopteri, Salmoniformes, Salmonidae.